CGCGUAGGUGGUCAAAUAAGUCUGGUGUGAAAUAUCUCGGCUCAACCGAGGAGGCGCGCUGGAAACUGUUUGACUUGAGUGAUGGAGGGGGAGCUGGAAUUCCAGGUGUAGGGGUGAAAUCUGUAGAGAUCUGGAAGAACACCGGAGGCGAAGGCGAGCUCCUGGCCAUCAACUGACACUGAGGCGCGAAAGCGUGGGGAGCGAACAGGAUUAGAUACCCUGGUAGUCC
RNAcentral lists this ribosomal RNA (229 nucleotides) under uncultured bacterium. RNAcentral describes it as "partial 16S ribosomal RNA". It matches the Rfam family "Bacterial small subunit ribosomal RNA", at positions 568 to 796 of the family's 1533-position model. The record is from RNAcentral.